RNAcentral lists this ribosomal RNA (460 nucleotides) under uncultured bacterium. RNAcentral describes it as "partial 16S ribosomal RNA". It matches the Rfam family "Bacterial small subunit ribosomal RNA", at positions 338 to 795 of the family's 1533-position model. The record is from RNAcentral.
CCUACGGGAGGCAGCAGUGAGGAAUAUUGGUCAAUGGACGAGAGCCUGAACCAGCCAAGUAGCGUGAAGGAUGACUGCCCUAUGGGUUGUAAACUUCUUUUAUAUGGGAAUAAAAUGAUCCACGUGUGGGAUUUUGUAUGUCCCAUAUGAAUAAGGAUCGGCUAACUCCGUGCAAGCAGCCGCGGUAAUACGGAGGCUCCGAGCGUUAUCCGGAUUUAUUGGGUUUAAAGGGAGCGUAGGUGGGUUGUUAAGUCAGUUGUGAAAGUUUGCGGCUCAACCGUAAAAUUGCAGUUGAAACUGGCAGGCUUGAGUACAGGAGAGGUAGGCGGAAUUCGUGGUGUAGCGGUGAAAUGCUUAGAUAUCACGAAGAACUCCGAUUGCGAAGGCAGCUCACUGGACUGCAACUGACACUGAGGCUCGAAAGUGUGGGUAUCAAACAGGAUUAGAUACCCGAGUAGUC